Molecule: non-coding RNA, 72 nt
Organism: Corapipo altera (White-ruffed manakin)
Lineage: Eukaryota; Metazoa; Chordata; Aves; Passeriformes; Pipridae
Source: the annotation of a RefSeq genome assembly
GUUUCUGUGGUGCAGCGGUUCUCACGUUCCCCUCACACGCGAAAGGUCCCGGUUCGAAACCGGGCAGGAACA